Molecule: long non-coding RNA, 7580 nt
Organism: Esox lucius (northern pike)
Lineage: Eukaryota; Metazoa; Chordata; Actinopteri; Esociformes; Esocidae
Source: Ensembl
CUUUGCUUUCAUCCUUAGUAAUUGAAAAAGGAACAGUGGGGGCUGGGAGCUCACAAGAAAGUGGAAAAUACAGAUGAUUUAAAUGUUUUGUCCACCUGAAGUCCUGAACCUCACAUUCCUAAUGUAUGCCCUUCUUAAAUCAGUUCCACGUGUGAGUUUUGUCCAAAUGGCAAAUUAAGGACAAGGAGCGGCAAAGAAUCUGAAGCUGACACUAAUUCAGACCGAAAGACUUCCCGUGCCAGGUGGUAUUAAACAAACUGAAGCUGAAGGACUCCUCACCACCAGCUGAAACACAAAUAGAAUGUGUGUGGGGGGGCUCAGCCACCGGCUUGAGGGAGCAAGUCGGUUCAAACGAAAACGCACAGAUCUAAUGUAUUAUGUAAAUCGUUCCUGGAGCCCAAUAAAAGCUAUCGGCGACAACUUCAAGUAACGCCUCACAACAAUCGCCACGGAAACCCUGUUCCCAGGAAGCGCGUAAUGCCAAAAGGUGCCUUAUUUCCUGCCACGUGACCCACUUCAACCAGAGCCCCAUUGACUCGGCGCUCUACACCACAGGGUGCCAUUCAGGACCCAAGCACCUUCCCGGAGCUGACACACUGGGCCUCGGCCAUUCCCGGGGCCAGGAAACCCCUAAACGCACCGCUCCCUUGUAGCCUAUCCUGCAUCACCCGGCGUUAGCUGUGACGGCCCUGGCUAGCCCUAAUGGGCUAAGACUGACCUAUAUGCACAGCCCGCAAGGACUCCGGUUCACUUGGCAUUAUGCCGGGCGAAGGGGCGGAUCCUGUGGCAUUUGGCCGGAUCCUGUGGUACACAAGUCUGUACAGGUUAGCGUUGCCGCGGCGUUUAUUCCCCUGUGCAUUGUGUGUUGCACGCGGUGACGUCCGCGGUUGGAUGGUAGCCGUUUUGGCGUGCGUUUCCUUAGGAAAGAGCCAGCCGCCCUGGUUGGGAACGUCUGUCAGGCUGCAUUAGGGGAUACGUUGUGUUGCAGGGGUGUGUGGGGGGAACCCCCUGUUGUGUUUUUGAGUGUGUGCGUGUGUGUGUUUCUCUGCUGUCACAACCUCUAAUUAUAUAGCAUCUCUCUGAGACCCUGACAGCAACGCAGAUGGUUAGCGAGGAACCGAGGAACAAGGUUACACGACCAGGAGUCACCCCCCCCCAAGCCCCUCCUCCGUAUCUCACAAUCCAAGAACAGACGUGCCGACAGGAAAACGCAUCAUAUGACAUCUCUGUUUUAGGAGUGCUGUGAAGAGGAACGAGGUAAACAGACCAGGAGUCAACACGUUAGUGGAUCCCUCCACACUGCACAGGAUGCCAGCCAGGCUUCCAGGACCCAGUCCGCUGCCUCCGUGUCACUCCGUGGAGGGAAACCGGCGACAGGAAAUACAAAUAUGACACGUCACAGUGUUGAGAGGAACGCUUGAGGUUAUUCACAGAACUACUAAGUACUACUAAUAAAUAAUAAUACAUUAUAUUUAUAUAGCGCUUAUCAGGGACCCAAAGAUACAAUAGUGACAUGGAAACAGAAAACAAACAGUUCACAUGCCACCAUACACACAGUAAUGCAGUCAAUGUCUGAAUCGUGACCAACAUCUAGAUUUCUGUGAGCAAUCUCAAUCCAACUGUAGCAAGCUGAAAAAGCAAACGCUUGAUAAACAUCAGGGAAACAUUCAGUGCCAUUAGGUGUACUUAAGCAUAUUUCUUCCCCCUCUCACUCCAUCUCUCUCUUUGAACUGCAGAUGGUUGAUUAUUCGCUCAACCUUUUUUUUCUAGAAUUAUUUUUCCAAGCAAGUCAGCACUUUGAUCUGCCUCCAUACUGGCCUCUGGAGGUGCAGGGACGAAUUACAUGUCGCUGCCAGCCAGGGAGUGCAAGGUGUCCCUUAUGUAUCCCUGUCCAGUAAGAGUUUCCUGUGAUACAGGCUGAAUCCCAAAUGGCAUCCUAUUCACUAUUUACUGCACUAUGGGCUCCGGUCACAAAUAGGGAUUGAAAUGGGGUCAGUAGUAAUGAAAUCUGAAAUAUGCAAUGACAGAUGUUUGGGAGCUGGUAGUUGCUAAAAUAUGUGGACGUUUUUUUCAGUCUAAUCCAGAGAGCGAAUGGACAUUUCUCUACGUAUCUUAAUGCAAUGGCCAUAACAGAUUUUGGCGUUUAUUUGUUUCCAGGCAGCUGUGACGGAGAGGACGUUUAUUCUGGUGUGUGUGUGUGUGUGUGUGUGUGUGCGCGUCUGUGUGUGUGCAUGUGUGUGCAUGCCCAUGCCUGCGUGCGUUCGUGCGUGUGCCUGAGUGCAUGCAUGCGUGCGUGUGUGUCUGUCUGUGUGUGUGUGCACAUGUGUUUGUCUGUGUGUGUGUGCGCAUGUGUUUGUCUGUGUGUGUCUGCGCAUGUGUUUGUCUGUGUGUGUGUGCGCAUGUGUUUGUCUGUGUGUGUGUGCGCAUGUGUUUGUCUGUGUGUGUGUGCGCAUGUGUUUGUCUGUGUGUGUCUGCGCAUGUGUUUGUCUGUGUGUGCCUGCGUGCGUGCGUCUAUGUGUGUGUGUGCGCAUGUGUCUGUCUGUGUGUGUGUGCACGUGCACGUGUGUGUACGUGCGUGCGUGAUGUGGGCUUUAUAUUGACGGAGUCAGGCUUAAUUUGGGCAGAGUGGGUUUUCACACAUGACACCGUUAACGCCCCGGUGAUUUUGCCACGCAUGACAUUUUGUAGACAGACGCUGUCCGACGUUUACAUCUGUACGACACAGAAUGCCUGGGCACUUUCACCUCUCACCUUUACCAGUUCAUGCCCCCACAGCAUACACGGAUAUUACUAUAUUUAGAGGCUAUUGUUUACUCUAUACUCGCUUAAGUUACUUAAUACAAUCCACACAUUACAUUUGAGGUGCGCUUACUUAUGAGUUGUUCCUUUCAGACUUUCAUAUAUUGUUUUGAAUUAUUCCAUUUAGAAGUUCAUUUUGAUAUAUUGUUCCAUUCGAAGCACUGUCUGAUUCGUGUCCAUUUUGCCCAAUAAAUAAUGAAACACAGUAAUUUGUGUACAUCGAUUCUUGGUAUAAUAAUUAUUAUUGGUAUAAAUCUGUCUGUGUGUGCUGUUGUUUAAUGUUUCUCCAGGGGGUUGUUUUAGUCAUAACUUCAGUGGGAAUAUGUUGAAUUACUUACUAAUCAGUGGAAAAUGGCUUGUCCGGGGAACACUGAAUGCCAGCUUGUACGUGUCUCAAACGGCUCCCUCUUCACCUAAGGGCCCUGACGGAGAAAAGUGCACCACUUAGGGGAUAGUGUGAGGUUUGGGAUGCAGGCCAUGUGAAUUAGGACCAGGCCGGUCCAACAACCAAUUUGCAUAACACUCUUUGCUAAAUUGCGACUCAGCAAUCCAUUCGGAAGUUCGCAGGGCGCCGCUAAUGCAUUUAGGUCCCUGGAAGUGGAAAGCACGGUCAUUCAUAAUAAAUGAUUCCUCGUCGACUCAAAGUAAUCAUUUAUAAAAAAAAAAAAAAGAAAGACAUGACGUGUCUCCACUCAGUGUUUCCGCUCUAAUGUGACGGAAAGGCGUAAGUGUGCGCUAUUAGGCAACUGCAGUUCAUUGUCUUGUUUCGCAGCCAUUUCAGCGCAUCUAAGCAGCUCCCCCGUCAUUUCAACUACCUUGCGUCCAAAUUGCCCCCUCUUUCCUGUGAGGUUCACUAGUACUAUAGACAAUGGGUUAUAAGGGGGUGCAUUGGAUCAGCGUUUGAGUCCAGCUGUGAUAUUCCAACCAGUAUCGAUGAGGUGCCGGAAUAGUGGGAAUGACGGUCCUUGUCGGGUAGCUGAGGUAUUUGGGAAGUGAAAGCGCUGAAUACACUGCAGGUCCACAUGUUUACCCGAGCGUCUCUACAAAUGCAAGUCCAGUCUUUUCAGUCGUUGUUUUUAUAGACGCUUUGCUCUGGAGACACUUGGACCCUUUUCAUUCAACUUAAUUUGCAAUAUUUACUGAGGUAUCACCAAAUUGUUUCAAGAUGGCCGUGACACGGAUCAUCUAGCAAUUAGAUUUGGAGAUUGUUGACCCCUGUAGCUAUGUUUGUAGUCAUGUUUGUAGCUUAGUAUAUCUGUGUUAAUUUUAUUUGCAUUGCAGGCCUUUACUUUUAUGGAACAGGGAGAGUCAUUGUUGCCUUAAUACACGGCAAAACUGAUUUACCGUGAUGACAUGGGGGGUGAAACACAGCUCUGCUAAACCAAAACUGAGGGGGCAAAUAGUUGGCACUUCAGUAGCUCCGAGACAAUUUCUAGGAUGCAAAAGCAAUUAAAAGUUCUUAAUCGUCCCAGAAAUUGCUGGAUUCCUUCUUAUUGGUCGAGGAAACCUAUUGGUUCUGUCUGAUUGGUCACAAAAAAUGAUGGGUUAAGCCUGAUUGGUUCUGGAAUCCGAUGGGUUAAGCUAGAGCUAGAAUACACAAGGGUAAAGCAAAUAUUUUUGGGGGGCCCUAGAAAUCACAUAGAGUGCCUAUCAGGACAUAUUACGAAUCCAAUCACAUUUUUGUCUUCAGACGAAUAUAGAAAACUAUGAAUAAACAUCCGAGCUUUGAACGGAACAGAACCCCCGAUUGAUUAACAGCAAACAGCCGGCCACCCGAAGCCAAGGUCGCGGUGACGGUACUACCAUGGAGAGAUGAGCACUGCUGGUGAAAGUGUGAGGGGGAUAUGCAAAUAUGCUCCCUGCAAUUAAGGCACAAACACAUGCAUAAUGCAUUAUGACCAGGUCCCUGCAGUGUCUGUGGACCCUUGGGCCUGUUUAGUCAAAGCGCGUCUCCACACGUUCGGCAGUCCGGCCUCAGACGAGCAUCACCGGGUCAAUGAUCUGCGAUUCUUUGAUUGUUGACUCUAAUAUUGGUCUAUUUCCUUUCCUUACUUAACACCUUGUGUAUCUCUGUGUCUCUGAAGGUGGCUUUGUGUAUCUGUGUUUCUGAAGGUAGCUUUGUGUGUCUCUGUGUUUCUGAAGGUGGCUUUGUGUAUCUGUGUUUCUGAAGGUAGCUUUGUGUAUCAGUGUUUCUGAAGGUAGCUUUGUGUAUCUCUGUGUUUCUGAAGGUAGCUUUGUGUAUCUCUGUGUUUCUGAAGGUUGCUUUAUGUAUCUGUAUUUUUGAAGGUAGUGUCUCUGGAUCCAGCUGUGAGUAUCUCUGUCUGUCUCUCAAUCUAGCUGACUGCUAUGUGUCUCUGAAUCUAGCUGUGUGUACAACCAUGUGUUUUUGAAGCUACCUGUGUGCUAUUUAUCUGAAGCUAGUUGUGUGUAUAACUGUGUGUUUCUGAAGCUACCUGUGUGCUGUUUAUCUGAAGCUAGCUGUGUAUAUCUAUGUUUAUCUAAUACUAGCUUUUUUAUGAGUGUUCAUCUGAAGUUAGCUGUGUCUCAGAUUCUAGCUGUGUGUAUCUCUGUGUGUGUUCUGUGGCUACUCUGCUAUGUUUCUCUGAAGCUAGCUGUGUAUUUCUCAAGUUAGUUGUAUGGCUCUGUAUUUGUGAAGCUAGCGGUGUGUGUUUGUGUUUCUCUGAAGCAACUGUGUGUAUCUGUGUUUUCAAAAUCUAAUUGUAUGUAUAUUGAAGCCAGCUGUUUAUCUAUGUGUAUCUUUAAAACAAGCUUUAUUUUAUUUUUAAUCUUAAGCUAGCUGUAUCUGUAUUUCUCUGAUGCUAGCUGUGUGUGUCUCUGUGUCUCUGAAGCUAGUUAUGCUUAUCUGUGUGUCUUUAAGCCCUAUGUUAAGAUAUGCAAUUUCUGUCUGUCUGUGGCCCACAUUUAUACUUGUCAUUUAGCAGAUGCCUUUAUACUUAGUGACUCAUGGUAAGCAACACUUUACCCAAUAUCUAAAGCUAUAGCUGUGUAUUACUGAGGCUAUAUUUUUCAGCUUGUUUCUCAAACAAAUGUUACUUGUUUUCAGAUUUUAUGUCUUUGACUUUCCUUGAAAGUGUUUGUUACAUAAAACAUUAAUCAUUUAUUUUCAAUUGUCCAUGUCUCAGUAGCGGGAGAACCACCACCACUCCCCACAAUUCAUGGUAAAAAAAUUCUGAAGUGACAUAAAAGAUAUGUCUUUGACGGUCGCCUCAGAAGAAGAUUUAACACAGUUAGGAAGCCUGUUUGACAUUUAGUGCCUCUGAUAUGAGCAACGGCCCAUUGUAGUGGACUUGUCUGCUUUAUGGCUUUGCUUUUUGACCCUUCAGUUUCUCUUCAAUGAUGCUGUUUUUAUUCCUGUCUCUCACCCGGAAUAAAGGAACGAAGAAGAAAGGGAGUGAUGUUGUGGAUUAUGUAUGUGGUGUGGCUAGACUUACAUGUUUAUUUGUUUACAUUUUAUUGGAUUAGGUAGGCUAAACCUCAUUCAUGGGUUAACGCAAUUCUCAUGUAGUUUCUUCUCAUAAUACUUCAUUUAACUGAUUGUUUCAUAACAGAUUCAUUACAUGUUUAAUUCAUGUCUCGGAGAAACAGAUGAGGUCAGGUAAUUCAUUUGAGGACUAAUGUGCAGAAGAAAUCGAUGCUCACUCACGAAACACAGGAGCAUUUUACCCAGCAAACCUGAUUACUCAAACAGAUGUUUAUUAAUUUUCCGCACAUAUUAAUGCACUUAUACCAAAUUAAAUCAAUUAAAUAUUCAGUCUACUGUGCUAAGAAGUCAGUGUUAACAGACGUCUGUCACAGCCAAACCAAACGCUUCGGCUGUCCUUUAAAGAGGAUAGGUUUAUUAAUUCUUUCCAUCUAGCUACCUCUCAGGAUGUGGAAAACCAAUAAACAAACUUGCUAUGUGCACUAACAUUGUGUCUGUUUUGAGAAUAGUGUCUGCUAAAGGAUUCAAAUGUAUUUGAUGUUACACAGAUUUUUUGAAAGGGUGUUUCUGGGGGCUGAGCAGAAAUGGUGAAGGAUGCUCAGGAACAUAUUUCCGGUCAUAUCAUGAUAAUUUAACAUAACAUAUUGCAUAGUAAAGCCCUGUAAAAUACUGUAAAUAUGAUAUAUAGAAUAAUGUAUGUGUGUGUGUGUGUGUGUGUGUGUAUAGAUAUAGUACCAGUCGAAAAUUUGAACACACUCAUCCACUUGAGGGUGAAAGGUUAAGAUAUAUAGUGUCUAGUCCUAAAUAAAUCCUGAAGACAUAUUUUAAACAUUGUGAUUCACCAUUUGCUGGAUAUGCCUCUAUAUCUACAGUAGCUUCAGUCCCCGUUGUGACAGACAGACUAGCUCUAAUUAUGCUGAUCCUUUUUUUUGGGAGGGGGGUUCAACACCCCUCCUCACAUAUCCCUCGAACGCCCAUUACACACUCCUUUUAUUCAUCUCUCUCUUUUUGGAGACUGAGACGGUUGUCAUGGAAACGUGGCAUAAGCCAAGCACACUGCCUUACUCCCCCUUAAAUGUAAUUAACAUGAGGGGUGAUUUAUUCCUUAUUUUGGGAGGGGUGGGGCGUUAAUAUUGCCUGAUUUUAUUUUUUUCAACUCCCCCCCUGCCCCCCCUACCAUUUCCCCCAAAAUACUGUUCUUUAGAAAACGGUUACGGAUUAUAUUUUCAGAAGAUUAAUGCAAAGUUGAAAAAGGAAAACUUCUAAUUAAUAUUCUGCCAGUUGGCGCACAUGGUUCUGCAUUCUGGUUAUUACCACCAAAAAGCCCAGAGACUACACA